Long non-coding RNA from Vespa mandarinia (Asian giant hornet), 849 nucleotides. The record is from RefSeq and is a predicted model, not a curated record. NCBI's taxonomy places the organism in Eukaryota, Metazoa, Arthropoda, Insecta, Hymenoptera, Vespidae.
GAGAGAGAGAGGGAGAGAGAGAGAGAGAUGAAAAAAUUAAUAUAUAAAUUGUUUAUGUAAUAUUUCGCGAGCAUUGGAUUUCUCGAAAAGAGAAAUUUCGUCACAUUGUCGUCGUUGUCUUCGUCACAUCGUCGUCCUUCUCUUCGUCAAAAAGGAGAACGAAUUUAUUAAAAAAAAAAAAAAAAAAAAAAAAAAAAACAAGUGAAAAAGGGAGGGAGUUGUCGAUGGUAGGAAAGAAAAAAAAAAGAAAAUUAUCUUAUCAAACUAUAUCGUACGUUUUUUUUUUUUUUUAUAAAUCCUACUUGAUUCUAAUCAAAUAAUAUUUAAAUAUUGAAUUGAUUUAAUCCUAAUUUACGUUUUUUCAAAUGAAUUCACGUACGUAUAAUCGAAAUCUUAUCACUUUAGUUAUUCUCGCAUAGAAUUGACACAAAAUUUUUAUCAGUUUAAUUAAAUUAAUCGAAUUGUUCGUAUCGUUGAAAAGAAAGAGAAAAAAAAAAGAAAAAAAGAAAAAAAGAAAAAAAGUAAAAAGAUCGUCGGUUUAUCUCUACGGUCGAAGAUUCUCUUUUCUCGUUAACGUCAUUUCAAACAUUCGACGCGUGUUCAUGGAAUUUUUUUUUAAUUGACUCGAAGCAAAAGAAAGGAAAAAAAAAAAAAAGAAAAAAAGAAAAAAAAAAGGAAAAAGAAUAAAAAGAAAAGAAAAAAAAAAAGAAGACAGACAAAUUCAUCAACAAAUAGAAACAUGUCAGUAAUCUAAUUGAUUAACAUUAUUAACUAAAUCCUCUGACUUUAACUAAUGAUCAAACAACUGCAUAGAAAAUUGAAGAGAAAAAAAAAAAAAGAAAGAAAAUA